AGGGUAUAUGGUGGAUAUCUUGGCAGUAAGAGGCGAUGAAGGACGUUUGCUAGGUAGCGAUAAGCCACGACGAGUGAUCAAGCAUGCUUUGACUCGUGGAUUUCCGAAUGGGGCAACCCGGCUAGUAGAAAUACUAGGUCACUGCAUGGUGAGUUAAGUAGCCAUGACAGAGCGAACGAGGGGAACUGAAACAUCUAAGUACCCUCAGGAAGAGAAAUCAAAAGAGAUUCCGUAAGUAGCGGCGAGCGAACAUGGAAUAGCCCAAACCAGUAAGUUUACUUGCUGGGGUUGUAGGACCUACAUAAGGCUCAAUAACGAUAGAAGAACUGUUUGGGAAGGCAGGCCAAAGAGGGUGAAAGCCCCGUAAUCGAAAUUGUUAGAGAGUUGGUGGGUAUCCUGAGUAGGACGGGACACGUGGAAUCUUGUCUGAAUCUGGGGAGACCACUCUCCAAGGCUAAAUACUCCUUACUGACCGAUAGUGAACAAGUACCGUGAGGGAAAGAUGAAAAGAACCCCGAUAAGGGGAGUGAAAUAGAAUUUGAAACCGUAUACUUACAAACAGCGAGAGAGCUAUUGUAAAGCUUGAUCGCGUACCUUUUGCAUUAUGAUUCAGCGAGUUACGAUGUGUAGCAAGGUUAAGCCGUUGCAGGUGUAGCCGUAGGGAAACCGAGUCUUAAUAGGGCGGUUUAGUUGCAUGUCGUAGACCCGAAACGGGAUGAGCUAUCCAUGAGCAGGUUGAAGCGGGGGUAAAACCUCGUGGAGGACCGAACCCAUAUAGGUUGAAAACUGUUGGGAUGACUUGUGGAUAGGGGUGAAAGGCCAAUCAAAUUCCGUGAUAGCUGGUUCUCUCCGAAAUGCAUUUAGGUGCAGCCUUUAGUGGACACCAUCGGGGGUAUAGCACUGAAUUGGCUAGGGGGCUUACCAGCUUACCAAACCAUAUCAAACUCAGAAUACCGAUGAGUGAUGCUAGGGAGUGAGACUAUGGGUGCUAAGGUCCAUAGUCGAAAGGGAAAGAGCCCAGACCAUCAGCUAAGGUCCCUAAAUAAUCGCUAAGUGGGAAAGGUUGUGGGAUUACUUUGACAUCCAGGAGGUUGGCUUAGAAGCAGCCACCCUUUAAAGAAAGCGUAAUAGCUCACUGGACUAGUGAUCCUGCGCCUAAAAUUCAACGGGGCUUAAGUGAUUUACCGAAGCUAUGGAUUGAGAUUUAUCUCAAUGGUAGGAGAGCAUUGUGUAUGCCGAUGAAGAUGUACCGUAAGGAGCAUUGGAGGUAUCACAAGAGCUGAUGCUGAAAUGAGUAACGAUAAGGAACGUGAGAAUCGUUCCCGCCGAAAAUCUAAGGGUUCCUGGGCCAGGUGACUCCGCCCAGGGUUAGUCGGAUCCUAACGCGAGGCCGAAAGGCGUAGUGGAUGGAUAACAGGUUAAUAUUCCUGUACUUAGUAAUUAUCGUUCGACUUGGUGGAGUGACGGAGAAAGGUAGUGAAGCCACACACUGGUUAGUGGUUUAAGCGAGUAGGUGGGAGACUCAGGCAAAUCCGGGUUUCUAUUAACGCCGAGACGUGAUGACGAGGGCCUAGCCCGAAGUUCAUGAUCCUAUGCUUCCUAGAAAAGCUUCGUAAGGAGAUGAUUAUUAAUCCGUACCGUAAACCGACACAGGUAGAUGGGAUGAGAAUUCUAAGGCGCUUGGGUAAACUCCAGUUAAGGAACUCUGCAAAUUGGUGCUGUAACUUUGGGAUAAGGCACGCCUUUUUUGGUGAUAGAACUUGCUUCUUGAGCUGAAGAGGGCCGCAGUGAAAAGGGGGUAGCGACUGUUUAUCAAAAACAUAGGUCUAUGCAAACUCGUAAGAGGACGUAUAUGGACUGACGCCUGCCCGGUGCUCGAAGGUUAAGAGGAGAGGUUAGAGCAAUCGAAGCUUUGAAUCGAAGCCCGAGUAAACGGCGGCCGUAACUAUAACGGUCCUAAGGUAGCGAAAUUCCUAGUCGGGUAAGUUCCGACCUGCACGAAUGGCGUAACGACUUCCCCACUGUCUCAACUGGAGACCCAGUGAAAUUGGAGUGCGCGUGAAGAUACGCGCUACCCGCGGAAGGACGAAAAGACCCCGUGAACCUUCACUGUAGCUUGGCAUUGGUUUUCGAAACACAUUGCGUAGGAUAGGUGGGAGCUUUUGAUCCGUGCAUUCCGGUGUACGAGGAGGCAACCUUGAAAUACCACCCUUUGUGUUUUGGAAUCCUAACCUACGAUCGUUAUCCGGUCGGGGGACAAUGUCUGGUAGGCAGUUUGACUGGGGCGGUCGCCUCCUAAAGAGUAACGGAGGCGCACAAAGGUUCCCUCAAGCCGAAUGGAAACCGGCUGUAGAGUGUAAACGCAUAAGGGAGCUUGACUGCGAGGCAAACAAGCCGAGCAGGUAGGAAACUAGGUGUUAGUGAUCCGGUGGUUCCGAGUGGAAGGGCCAUCGCUCAACGGAUA
Molecule: ribosomal RNA, 2464 nt
Filed under: marine metagenome
Description: bacterial LSU rRNA
Rfam family: Bacterial large subunit ribosomal RNA
Source: RNAcentral